This 797-nucleotide ribosomal RNA is filed under the name Klebsiella michiganensis. RNAcentral describes it as "partial 23S ribosomal RNA". It matches the Rfam family "Bacterial large subunit ribosomal RNA", at positions 419 to 1218 of the family's 2925-position model. Lineage: Bacteria; Pseudomonadati; Pseudomonadota; Gammaproteobacteria; Enterobacterales; Enterobacteriaceae. The record is from RNAcentral.
GGGACACGUGGUAUCCUGUCUGAAUAUGGGGGGACCAUCCUCCAAGGCUAAAUACUCCUGACUGACCGAUAGUGAACCAGUACCGUGAGGGAAAGGCGAAAAGAACCCCGGCGAGGGGAGUGAAAAAGAACCUGAAACCGUGUACGUACAAGCAGUAGGAGCCCACUGGUUGGGUGACUGCGUACCUUUUGUAUAAUGGGUCAGCGACUUAUAUUCUGUAGCAAGGUUAACCGUAUAGGGGAGCCGCAGGGAAACCGAGUCUUAACUGGGCGUUAAGUUGCAGGGUAUAGACCCGAAACCCGGUGAUCUAGCCAUGGGCAGGUUGAAGGUUGGGUAACACUAACUGGAGGACCGAACCGACUAAUGUUGAAAAAUUAGCGGAUGACUUGUGGCUGGGGGUGAAAGGCCAAUCAAACCGGGAGAUAGCUGGUUCUCCCCGAAAGCUAUUUAGGUAGCGCCUCGUGAACUCAUCUUCGGGGGUAGAGCACUGUUUCGGCUAGGGGGUCAUCCCGACUUACCAACCCGAUGCAAACUACGAAUACCGAAGAAUGUUAUCACGGGAGACACACGGCGGGUGCUAACGUCCGUCGUGAAGAGGGAAACAACCCAGACCGCCAGCUAAGGUCCCAAAGUCAUGGUUAAGUGGGAAACGAUGUGGGAAGGCCCAGACAGCCAGGAUGUUGGCUUAGAAGCAGCCAUCAUUUAAAGAAAGCGUAAUAGCUCACUGGUCGAGUCGGCCUGCGCGGAAGAUGUAACGGGGCUAAACCAUGCACCGAAGCUGCGGCAGCGACACUAUG